RNAcentral lists this long non-coding RNA (39469 nucleotides) under Gossypium barbadense (sea-island cotton). Its description in RNAcentral is "long non-coding RNA (GBAR_LNC013049)". The record is from RNAcentral. Lineage: Eukaryota; Viridiplantae; Streptophyta; Magnoliopsida; Malvales; Malvaceae.
AAAAAAAAAACUAUAGAAAAGAAAAUGAAUUAAAGCUUUCGAUUGGUGUAGGCGAUGAGAAUAGAAAAGACCAUGUAGCAAUGAUUUCAACAGCUCAGCAACUUAAAUAAAAAAUUUUGAAUAAUUAAAUAAUAUUUUGUAACUUUUUAAAGUUGAAUAAUCGACACGUAAUUUUACUUAUAGUUUAAUGACUUUGAAUGUAAUUUAAAUUAUUUAAAAUAAAUAGUAUUGUUAAAUAUAAAUAUCAUAAAUCUAAAAGGUAAAUAGUAAAAUUUGAAAAUCAAUAAACUAGUGUAAAAUGUUUUGUAACGUCCCCUACCCGUAUUCGUUGCCGGAAUAGGGUACGAGGUAUUACUGGAGUUUACGAAUUAAUUUUUAAUUUUUUAACUCAAUAUAAUCCCUUUAUAGACAUCUGACUUUCCCUGCAAUUUUAAACUGAAACCACUUCACAUCAAUCAAUCCAAUUCAACAUAUUUUCAAGAUAGAUUCAUGCAUUUUUAUAAGAUAACUUCAUCACAUAACGAAACCAAGAUUUGUUAGUCAUACCAAUGGCUGACUUACAUUCAUUUCACAUUAACAUUUACUUUAUUGGCUUAUAAAUGUCAUUGAUUUCCAAAAUAAAAUUUUUUUAUAUACCGAAAUCUUGAGGUUGAUAGUGUGAUUUGUCUCUAAACGAAUCUGACUUCUAAGCUCUUAACACUACAGAACAGGGGAAAAAGAAACAAGGGAAGCACUUUGUGCUUAGUAAGCUCAUGUAACAAGAAUUAUACUUAACUAAUAGUUUCAAUAUAAUGAAAUAAACAUUUAUAUAUCCAUUUAAUGCGUUAUUACCCUAACAUACACAAACUCAACAUUCAAGUUAGUUCAAUAAUUUCCAUGUAUCAAUAAUAUAUACUAUGAUUGAUAUUCCCUUAUUAUUUUUCUAUAUUUAUUCCGUUAAAUUUUUCGAAAUUUUUUAUGGAUUUUCAGAGGUACUUUUUUAGUGUGUAAUUUUCGGGUUUGUCAAUUCAUAUUCAUUUGAGCACAUUUUCAUUUCAGAGAGCAAACUCCCGCAAACCUCAUUCUUACAACGGGAUUACUAAUUUAGGCUAAAUCUCCUGUAAUAUAAACUAAUAGAGUAUUGUCGGGUUUACCAGUACAGGCUAAAUCCCUUGCAACGACAAUUACUCUAAUGAGUUUAGAUCUAAAUUAACAGUCCAAGCUAAAUUCAGACUCUAAUUUGGAUUACCCGUCCGGGUUAAAUCCAUUUUACACAUUCUUCGGGCAGGCUAUAUUAAGAUAGGAUCACCCAUUCGAGCUAGAUCCUUUUUACAGUUAAUUCCUUUUCAGAGAUAUAUUUUAUCGGGAUUUCUUCCUCAUUUUUAUCAAAUAUAUUAAUGUUUCAUCAAUUUUCAUAUAAUGAACAUUCAAAUCAUAUUUACAUCAAUAACAUACAUUUCAAGUAUUUAAUAAUAUAAUUCAAAUUAUACGAACCUACCUCGAUACUUGUUUGUAUACAAAAAUAUACUAAUCUCGAACUUUUUCCUUUCCUCGAUCUAGCUUCGUAUUUGAAUUUUCUGGAUCUAAAUAAAUAAAUUUAAUUAUCAAUUUAAUACAUUUUAUGUUCAUAUGCAACAUUCUUUAUAAUUCUACUAUUAUUUAUAGUUCAUUUAAAGCUGUCUACUUGAGUCAUAAUAACUAAAUUAUUUUUAUCUUGAGUUAUAGAACUUCAAAUUAGGAUCCGUUAAUUUUCCCUGAAACUAUAAUCACAUAUCUUCUUACCAUAAAAAUUUCAGAAAUUUCAGAAUUUUUGAUUUAGCCAAUCAGUACAGUUUCUUCUUUAAAUUCACCCAUGUUCUGCUGUUUGACCGUUCUAACAUUUCUUCCCUAAAAAUUAAUCAUCUCUUCAUACAGGAUUUGUAUGAUGUUCCCGUUUGUUUCUAUUGAAAAUAGAUUGAUUCAGGAUUCUAAACAUAUAAAUUUAAGCCCAUAAAUUUUUUUUUUUAUUUUUUUAUAUUUUUUUAAAGUCAGAACAGGGAAACUUGAAUUUUCUCUGACAUUGUCUCACAAAUUUUAUUAUAUCUCAUGAUUUACAAUUCUAUUGCUUACAUCAUUUCUUCUAUGAGAAACUAGACUCAAUAAGCUUUAAUUCUAUAUUUUGUUCAUCUUCUAAUUCAAUUUCCACAAUUUAUGGUGAUUUUUCAAAGUUAGCCUUCUGUUGCUGUCCAAAACUGUUUUAGUGCAAGAUGUUUAUUGUCAUUUUUUCCCUAAGCUUUUAAUAAAUGAUAAUUUCGUCCCUACUAAAUUAGUCUCUCAAUUGAGCUGAUUUUUCUUAAUUAACACUUAAUUAUAUCACCUUAGACUACUUUAUAACCUUUGGGAAUUAGAAUUUUAGCACUAGAUUUUAAUUACAAACAUUUUCACAAUUAGGUCCUAAAAAUCAAAUUCUAUUGAAAUUACCUAAUAAAAUCAUCUCAUAAACAAAUUAAAGCUUUAAUUUCAUGCUAUUUCAUUAUAAACUUACAGCACUCAACCAUGGUGACUUUCAAUUUCAUCCAUAAAAUCAAAAACUAAUGAAUUUAAUAGUAGGCCCUAGUUGUAAAAGUCUUAGAAAUACAAAAAUUACAAGAAAUAGGUAAGGAUUAACUUACUUGGUGCAAAAAUUAUGAAAUACCAACUUAAAGAACUCCUCCUAUGGUGUUUUGGCCGAUGAGAAUGAAGAAAAAUGAAGAGAAAUCAAGAUAUUUCCUAUUUAGUCCUAUCUUUAUUUAGUUGAUUAUGCAAUAGUCUAAUUUUGUCCUUAAAUCAUCAAUUUUCCAGCUGAUUUCAUGCCCUUACCGUCCAGCCCAAAUAAAUUUUGGGUCUAAUUGCUUUUUAAAUCUUUUCUCAUUAGACACAUAAGCUAUUUAAUCAUUCUAGCAACUUUUGCACCUUUUGCAAUUUAGUUCUUUUCAUUUAAUUAACUACCCAAACAUUAAAAUUUCCUAACGAAAUUUAAAAAAAAAAUAAUACCACAUUACUAACAUUUCAUAAAUAUUUAUAAAAAAUAUUUUCGACUCUCGAUACCUUGUUUUUACCCGAUUUCUUCAAUAAAUUUUUUUUCUAACUAACCACUAAAUCGGUUAAAUUUUUCUAUCGAUAUUUUCAUACGAUUUUCCUAUCAUAUCAAUAUUCAUGCAAAAAUAUUAAAAUAAAUUUAUCUUUAAAUCAGAUUUGUGGUUAUGAAACCACUGUUUCGAUAACCUUGAAUUUAGGCCAUUACAUGUUUAACGGAUGAUAUAAUUUUAAAAAAGAAAUAAAUUUAUCAAGUGAUAAAUAUAUAUUAUUAUAAAUAUUAGAUCACGAUAAAACAAUUGUUUAAAAGUAUAUAUUUAUUUAAAAAUUAUGUCAAAUGAUAAAGUUGGAGAUUUAAAUUUUAUUUUUUGUAGAUUUUUUUUUGAGUUUAGAUAAAAAUAUAAGAAGAUAAAAACAUGUUUAUAUAAUAUAAUUUAUUUUGUAAAAAGUAUGAUUUUUAAUUUUUUUUAAUUGAAUGAUAGUAUAGAUAUAUUAUUGGUUUAAUAUAUUAUUCGGUACCUGAGUUUGAUACAUUUUUUUAAUGUGGUACCUAUAUUAUUUUUUUAAUUUAAUUUAAUGUAUGUGGUACCUAUAUUAUUUUUUUGAUUCAAUUUAAUAUAUGGAUUUAAUAAAAAUUAUAUAUUUUAAUAGUCUAAUAUAAUGAUUUUAACUUUUUAGAAAGAUAUUGUGCUAAAUAUGAAUAAAGAUAAGAUAUGAUACAAAAUUUAUGUUUUUGUAACAAUAAACCGGUUAUACUUUAAUUUCUAAUAAAAUUACAUCCUAUAUUUUUAUAAUUAUACUCAUGGUAUCAACGAACCACAUAUAUCACCACACAUAUAUAUAUACACACACAAUAUUUUUGAGACUCGAGAUAAAUAUUAGAUACAAGUAUGUGUUUGAUAUAAUGAUACUCACCCUUUUAAAAACAAAUCUUUUUCAUAUAUUCAAAGAUACAAAUAUUUUGAAAAAAUAAUACGAGUUAAAAGUAACACAGUAUAUAUAUACAUAUAUAACAGUAGCAGCUUAACUGAGUUGAGUGAAGUGGCAACAAGUCAUCUUUGGCUCAAACCUGCUCUUUAUAUCUUCAUGAAAGACACUUCCACGACCAAAAAUGACAUAUAUAUAUAAUCAUGUGAUGUGCUGCGGUAGUUGCUGCUAAAUGUUUAUAGGUAGAGGUGGGAAUGUAGGUUGACUUUUUUGGAAAUGGAGGAAUAACAUAACACCAUGUUUUUUUUUAUGUUGAGAAUAAUGAAUACAUACCAAAUAGAAUAUAUAUAGUACAAAAUACAAUCUUCAUUUUUUCUCCCUUUUUAUGUUCUCAAUUUGACCCUUGUGGAAAUUCAAACAACACCAAUCCACUCCUUCUAAUACAAUCGAAUCGAGAACUGGUUAAGGUAUUUAUUCGAAGAAGGGGAUUGAACUAGUAUGGACCGAUUGAAUUUGAAUCAGAUUUUUAAGUUUUGUUAAAUGAUUUUUUUAAUAAUUUAUUUGAUCGAAUUGAAUGGACCGAUUGAAGUAAUCAAAUCGGUUAAAUUGAUGAACUGAUAAUUUGACCAAUUCAAUCAUCAGUUCAAUUCUAAAAACUUUAGUCAUAGCAUCCAUAGGGUUUAAAUGAAAGGUGAUUGGGCAUUGUGGGAAUAUAAUUUUUUGAGAGGAUAUGGAGAUGAAUAGUUACAUGCAUUGGUCUUUCAUAUGUUGAGAUAUGUUGUUCAAAAUCAAAAAGAAUUAAAAAAGCAAAAAAAGAAAAAGAAAAAGAGUCAUGGGUCAAAACCCUAUUUUCUUUUUGGGUUGAAUUAUCUUUUUAAUUAUCUCUUAAUUUGGCAACACACUCUCAAACACUUACCUAAUUAAGAAAAAUAUCUAACUGAUUUGCAUGAUAUUGUGCUUAGUGAUGCUUCUUCCAUUUGAUUAAUGAAUUGCCCUAAUAGAGUGGGGUAGGGUGAUUUUGUUAAAUCUAUCAUCAUUCCAUAGCGGGUAUGUUUUACUCCACCACUAAUUUUGUUUCAUUAUUAAUGUAUGAUCUUGAUAAUCAUUAUCACUUUCAUUACCACUUUCAUGAUUUUUUUUAAUACAUUAGUACGUUUUACUGUCUUAAUAAUUAUAUAUAAAGAUAAAAAUGUAAUUUUAUAUAAUGAAACGAGAUGGGACAAACAAUUAUUAUAAUCGUUCUAUAUCCACUGUCCAAAACAAAAUUCAACGAAAAAAUUCACUCCAUUCAAAAUGAAUCAGAUCAAAAUCAAUAUAGCUAUUUUGAAUUUGUCAUCCCUAAAUUGUUUGUAUCCUAAUUAAUGUAGUUCCAUGUUUUACCAUUAGCUGGUACUUCCGUAUGAUUAUGAGCCUUAAGCCGAAAAAGGACUUAAUUUUGGACAUAAAAUGGAUCAUCAAAAGAUUGUUAGAUGGGCAUUGAGUAUGGUUGCUGAAUAAAAUUUAACUUAUUCAUCAAUAAGGUCCUUUAUAUUUCCAUUAAUAUAUUUAUUUAUGGUGUCUAGAUUUAGUAUCUAUUAGAUUUUGAUUCGAUUAGCAUCGACAUUAUUAUUAGUGUAAGAGGGCAUAGAUUCAAGUGCGUUGAAACGUAUUAUCCUCCUAUUUAAGGGUUAGGGAGGGGCUAUGAGUAGUUAUGAUAAAAACUUAUAAUGAAGUUUGUAAUCUCUAUCACAGUCGCGAAAAGAGUCGUCCCUUCCUUGUGGAAGUUCUUCUCAUGAAGAUACUGAAUGACCGAGGCGUAACUUUCGAGGUCAUUUACAAAUCCCACCCGGGUUACAUAAUGAACAACCUCAAAGAGUUUUCAUGCUUCAUUAAAUGAAUGCAUCAAAACCAGAUAUUCAAUAGGACUAGGAUGCAUAGCUAACUUGAUAUUCUUGCCAAAAACAGUUAAUACAUUUUGAAGUUGUUUCAUUUGACAAUAUUCAAAAAUCUCGAUGGUACAUUUAUACGAAAUGAGAUAUUUAGGUGUUGGUUUACUUUCCGGCUUAACACAUUUAUCUGACUUACUUUUCAAAAUGAGAUCUUUAGGUGGUGGGUUAGAAUAUGGAGCAAAACAGAAUAGUUUAGUAAUAGGAGAAGCAGAGCUACUUGGGGGUUUUAGUGACUUAACACAUUUUGUUUGGAAUUGAAGUUCAAUUGAAAAAAAAAUUCAAAAUAUUUUGUAUAUAGUAAAUGUUAACUUUGCAACAAAUUUAGACUUUUUAAUAUAGUGAUUAAAUUGAUUCAUUUAAUAAUAGAGGCACUAAUUUGAAAAAGAAGAAAAUUGGCCUGGGCCUUCCCAAUGAAAACCUGAAAUUGGUCCAUUAUAACAGCCAUAACCAAUGGUGGGUUCUAAGAGCCAGUUCUUCAUUGCUUUUGAAAAGUGCUGUGGAAAAGUACUUUUGAGAAGUACUUUUGAAAAGUGUUUUGGAAAAAUUUAAGUGUUUGAUAUUGCUGUCAAAAAGUGCUUUUAAAAAGUAAAAUGUCUAUUUUAGACAUGAUAUUAUAAAGUAACAAAUAUGUAUUUAAAUAAUGUUCAAAUUAGUUAAUAUUAUGAUAUUUUAGUAAAAAUAUAAAAAAAUAAUUUAUUAUAACUUAUUUUUAAUAUUUUAAUAUAUAAUUUUUAUUUUUAAUUAAUGCUUUUAACACAUUUGUAAAACUCAUAUUAAAUAAUCAAGAAAGAGAACACAAAAUAAUAGCAUCAAACACAUUUUAAGUCAAAAAAUAAGGUUAAAAAAGUAAAAUAACAGCAAAAAGUGCUUUUUGACUGAAAAAACUAAAAUUUACUGCUUUUUCAUCUCUAAAAAAACUCAUCCAAAAAGUUAAAAAAAUUAUGUGUGAUUCCUUGCUUUUAAGAGAUUUUUUACAAAAAGUUCAUCCAACACACUAAGAGCCCCUUUGGAUACCAACGCACAGCAGCGCGUUGAAUUUUUUCCUCUUUAUUAUCAACUUGACUGCACUGGGGUGGACUGAGACAGCCUUUGGAUGCCAAGGCUUCCAGCACAGUGAGGGAAUUCUACUACACUGGACAGCCUUAAGCUGACUGGUGAUAAAAGCAUCAGUUGGGUGUAGCUGGGGCAAUAGAUAUUUUUAGAAGACAAUAACACCCUUGUUGUUGUUUCUGUUGUUGCUGCUGCUGCUGCUGCUGUUGGUAUUGUUGAUAAUGGGAAAUGGGAAUGGGAAUUGGAAUGGGAGGAGGGAACGGUGGAAGAGGGGAAUCGAUGGAAGAGGGGAGAUGGGAAUGGGAAAUGGGAGGAGGGCACGGUGGAAUGGGAAAUGGGAAUGGGUAUUGUAUGGGAAUGGGAAAUGGGAGAAGGAUACGGUGGAAGAGGGGAAUGAUGGAAGAGGGGAGAUGGGAUUUCAUUGUAUUUAAAAUUUUAAAAAUAAAAAAAUAUAUGUAAUGGAUUUUAAAAAUAAAAAAAUACAUGUAGUGUAUUUUAAAAAUAAAAAAAUAUAUGUAGUGUAUUUUCAAAAUAAAAAAAUAUGUAGUGUAUUCUAGAAAUAAAAAAAUAUAUGUAGUGUAUUUUAUUAAAUGAAUUUAUAAAUUCACAUAUUUUAAUAAUUUAAAAAAGUAAAAUAAUUUAAAUAACUUCUAUUAUAUAUCAAUUCUAAUCUGAUGUCUUUAAUAGUCAUUUCUUAUUCUCACCUCACAGCUACAGCUGCGUUUGAAUCCAAACACACACUCAACCAUUGUUUCUAAUCUCACCGUUACAGUAUCCAAUCUCACCGCUACAGUAACUAAUCUCACCGCCACCGCUAUUUUUAACCUCACCGAAAGUAAACACACCGCCAUCCAAACUAGCCCUAAGUGUUCAAUAACAACCCAAAGCCAACAAACAUUUGUCCUCGGCAGGUAAGAAACCCUAAAUCUAUGCCCCCAAAUGAAAUCAAAGAAACACUGAACAACUUUGAACGGGGAGACACUCGGAUACUAAAACCUUCUUUUUUUUGGGAAGCCAUGAAAAGGGUUUUGUUUAGAGGCAUUUCACUCACCACUCACAAUUUUCUUCACUCUUGUACCAAAACCAGCCAAAACCCAGUUCACUCGUUCACCCCACUCGCCGCUUCAACUCGGUCUCGACUCAGGCUGCACUCAUCCGAAUCGGAUUCUCCCGUUGAAAAGAAGCCUGACCCUGUUACAGAAUCUGCUUCAGUAGCGGAAGGCCAUGUCGAGGAUGUUGCUUUGCCUGUUGUGCAUAUGAGUGAUAAAGGUAAAAAAUGGGUUAAAAAAAUAUUGGAUUCGGGCUUCUAUUUGGCAAUUUGUUUCUUGUGUUUUUUAUUUAGAUGAUGAGAAAGGAAAGUCAAGAUGAAUGAACAAGUUUGAUUUUUAUUUUAUUGGUUUGUUAUGUUCAUGUUAGUCUGGUAAAAAGUCUUAAACUGGGUCUGAGGAUUUAAUCUGUACUUCUCCUUUGCUGGAAUUUUCUUUUUUUUUUUAUUUGGAAAUUAUUUGUUUGGUUGUUGAGAAAGGAAGGGAAACUAAAUCAUAAUAUAUAUAUUUGUUUGGAUAAUGAGCAAAGCAAGUGAUAGUUUGUUUCUUACUUAUAUUGUUUGACUUUGUUAGUUGUUUGGUGCCAGAGCUGGAAGCCCGAAUCAAGAAGUACUCAGAAGGGAAUCUAGAGGCAAUCCUUCCAGUUCUUCACGCCAUUUUGCAGAGAAUGUUAGCUGGGAAGCAUGACGAGGCAGAUGAAUUGCGGAGAAAGCUGAAAACCCAUGGUUUUUGCAGAAAAUAAGUCUCAUUUAGAACCUCGGGUAAGAUUUUUUAGUUCGAGCUCGAUACGAAUUUUCAAUGUUUUUAUAUAAAGAAUGAGUUCCUGGUAAAAGGUUUGCAUUUCUUGUUAUUAGUAAAAUUCAAUUUUCAUUUAUUUAAUCUCCAAUUUCAUUUGUGAUUCGUUUUGAUUUUGUUGAUUUAAAUUUAUUAAAUAUUAUUUUCUUCAUUUAUGUUAUUCAUCUUUUAAUGGAAAAUUUUCAAUUUUGAUUUAUUUAAUAUCCAAUUGCAGUUUAGAAUGUCAUUUGUUUUGGUUUGGUUAUUUUAGAUUUGUCAAAUGUUUUGUAUAUAUUUGGGUACUAUUACAAGUUUAGAAAUUAAGUGAGUUGAUAUAAUAAUUAGGACUCAAACCUACUAACAUAAUUUUUCAAGUUCGGACCUAACAAUCGGGUCUUUGAUACAUCGACAAUUCUACUUUGAAUUAAGAAAGCCAAUAAUUAAAAAUUUCAGGAAUUCAAUCUUUAUAUAGAUUCGAAUUUUAAAAUUGGAUACACAAAUAAGAAAUUAAAUCAAAAGAAGGAAGUAUAUGAUAUGAUAUGACACAAAAUUUCUGUUUUUUAAACAAUAAAUCGGUGAACUUGUGGUCUUUUUUACAAUCUCAAUCUAGUAGUGUCGAAGAAACAAAGCUUAUUAUGAGAUAGAACCAGCGUUGCCGGAAAAUGGCUUUCGUCGAUGCCCGAUGAUCUCUAUCAACCCUUUUAAGCCGUGCCCUCACUUCUUCUUCUUCUUCUUCCUUUCCUUCUCGUUCUCGCCUUACAGUUGCUCUCCUCAACAAAACCCCAGUUUUAUCCCCGAAGCAACGAAAAUCCUGACCCGAACCAAGACAUCCGGGUUCGGCUACUCGCCUUUAUAUUUGAAAGCCUUAUGAAGUCUACCUUGAUUUAUAUUCGAAAUGUUACUGAAUUAAUAUUUAUCCACUAUACAGAUAGGAAGGAAGCCUUAUGAAGUUAUGGUGGUAGACAGGUAGUUCGUAUACAAGCAAACUGGGAAGCCUGUCCAUACUCUCGAAGAAACUGGUGGUGCUAAAUGGUUUUUUGUCCUCAGUACAUCGAAGAUCUUGUAUUGGUGUGAAGAAAAAGGGUACAUUUCAAAAUUCGAGUUUCUUGGCAGGUGGUGCUACCAUUGCUGCUGGAAGAUUAGUUGUUGACAAUGGCGUCCUUAAGGCAGUUUGGCCACACAGUGGACAUUACCGUUCGUUAGAAGAAAACUUUAACGAAAGCUUUAACAACUUCAUUUCAUUUCUAAGGGAGAACAAUGUAGAUCUUAACAAUGUCAAGGUUAAAAAAGGUACUAUUCUUUUUGCAAAUGAAAAGAAUGUGCUGAUUAUUGUUGCUGAUAAUGCUUGUUUUUGUUAUAUUCAGAUGACUCUGGUGGAUGAGGAAGGAAACUUGGCUGGCAAGCAAAGAAGCAGUAACCAUCUUAGAUGUAACUCGUCUGAAGAUGACUUUAACUUUGAGGCUGAGGAGAUCAAUGUCAAAGACUAGAUCGAUCAAAUACUAUAGUUGAUUCAUGGGGAACAUGAAGCCGAGUCAAGGAGGUUCCACAGCCUUAGCUGAAAACAAUGUAGCUUUUGUGCCUAGUUGUAAUAAAGAUAAUUCGAUGGAUUCCUCUUUGGUGGAUGGUUAUGCAAUAGAGGAGAAACCGUUAGUUCAGAACUGGAUUGGUAUGAAAAUCAUGCAGAUAAUGAGGUGGAAGACCCUUCCUGAUGAAUUGAUUCUUCAAAGGGUUAACUCUAAAAGAGGAUCCACAUGCAAGUGGACUACAGGAGCAGCCUAACAGAUCCCAGAUUGGUUGUACGAAGAAAAACCCUCGAAACUCCAAUUCUGUGCUUGGGAGUAACUGAAGAAUUGAGAACCUUGAAUUCAUCUGUGCUCAAGACGAACAUUUUGUGAAAGAGAAGCAUCCAUUCCUAGAGUGCAGUAUUAUAAAGGAACACUUGCAGCACAAGUACAUUCUCUGUUAGUUCAUUAUUUGGGGUGAAUAGAAAAGAUGAUAUAGGACUUGCUGUAUCAUUCUUUUAAAAAACCAGAUCUCUGUACACAUAUUUAAAAAAAAUCAUCUUGUACCAUACUCUUCUACAAAAUUUGCUUAACUAUUUGAAUACAAUUGGUCAGGCAUUGAAAUGCAACAUUAUGGUACAUGUAAAAGGAAUUCAUAAAGAGAACUUUGGGUUGCUUUUUGACAUGCUAUAUAAAUUAUGUACAGUGUGGAAGCUUACGAUAGCCUUUGCAAAGGAACAUUGUGAUAUAUCUAUAAUGGAUAAAGGAGCAGCAACAAAAGCUCCACCGUCUGUUCAAAUGGUUGUGGAAGCAUUAGCCGGAGAUUUAGAAUGGCGAGACACGAAUGAUUCUACUAGUGGAUUCACAAGAUGUGGAGCUUCAUCCUGCAUGCACAUCAGUAAUACAGCAAUGAAUUAUCAUAUUUGUUAACAGAAAAACCUGCCGAACCAUAAUUUCAUGAGAGAGCAAACCUGAGGGCAGUGGCCAACAUUGGGGAGGACGACAAAGUCUUCUACGGUAUCAAAAUCCCCGUAGGCUCUUCCGAGUUCGAUGCUUUCCCAUGGAUCCUUGUCACCCCAUGCUAUCAAGACAGGACACUGCAAAAAGAGAGAAACAAGCAACAUAAACUAACAUGGAAACUGAAGGGAAAAGAAGACGGCAUACGAGAAAUCAGUUUAAGAAACUUACUUCAACCUGCGGAAGUAAUUCCUCAGGCAGGGGACCACCUGAGUAGCAUAUGAACUCAAGAAAAACAUCAACAGCGCCAGUUUCAAGUCCUGGAUGUAGGAUAAUCUGAACUAGUUCUUCGGUCACUUGAGAGGUGUCAUGGUAACACUGAAAUGAAACACCAGAAGCAAUCAAGCAAAGAUUUAUUCAUUUCUUACAAAAGUCAUCAUAGGAUACUACCUGACAAAGAAUACUUCUAACAGACUCCGGUGUGGCAACGGAUCUGAAGAAAAGUUUGCCGACUGCAGUGUUCCUGCCAAGAUAUCAUUACUACCUGAAAAAUCAAUAUGGCUAGUGCAACAUUUCUAAACAUGAAUGGAAAAAUAAAAAUGGUUCCAUAUCGUUUUUUUUACCUAAGCAAACUCUGAAAUGACGCUAUGAAAGGUCUUCCAAACCAUGGUUGCUUUUUGACAUGAAGCAUGCGCAGAGAGAUAUUUAAUAGGAAUAAACCCCUACAGAUCUCCGGCUUUGCGACUGCAGCUUGAAGGCCAACCAGUCCUACAUGAUGACACCCAUUAUUAUACCGACAUAACUUAAGCAUCAAGCAUAAAAUGUAUUAAAACACCAACAAGGGAAAUUACCUCCAAUAGAGUUACAAAUAAAGAAAGCUUUGUCUUUAACCACACUGCUACAAAAAUCAUUCAAUUGGGAACCCCAAGUCUCAAAUGUAUAGAAUGAGUCCCCAACUUCACGAGGAUUCGGUUUGUCCGAGUAUCCAUAGCCAAUAAGAUCAAUUGCAUAUACCCUAUGUGAUUUUGCUAGAACAGGAAUAUUUUUCCUCCAAUGAUUACUGUAGUAAGCAAGACAUUAGAAGAACUGACAAUUAAGCAUAAACACAUGGAAUCAAGUUAUUUAAAGGAAACCUUUGAAACAAGCAAUAAUUGAUGCACAUCUGAAACAUGCAUAAACAAACUGCACAUGCAUGCAAUGGACAAUAUGAAAAUACAAAAAGCAGAACUAUAUUGAGCAAUGUUGCAAUUCACAGAAACCAAUCACUUGUUUGCUAAUGAGAAGAAAAAUUCAAUUAUGCAGACCUGUUUGCUCCAAAACCAUGUACUAAAACCAAGGCAGGACCGCUACUUCCAGAACACUGAUAGCGAAUAGAAUAGCCCUUCCAGUUCCAUGUACUACAGAAACAAUAGAUACAAUGCAACAACAUCAAAAAAUUAAAGAAAAAUUUAGGGUUUUUUAAAUCAUAAUUUACCAUCCUUAGAAGGCAACAGCAAAAUUCCCUCUAGAAAGCUAAAAAGUUAAAAACAGCUCAAGUAGAAAGAGAAAGAAAAAAGAUAUAAAAGAGUACCAAGAAUGAAUUUGAGGCUAAGGGUCGGUGCUAUUGGUGUUGGCCUUAUGGUGAAGUUGGCCACCCGUGGCGGUGGUGGGGUGAUCACUUGAAAGGGAGCAUAGAAGGAAGCCAUUAGGCCUGAACCAAGAAAGGUUGAGACUGGGGGUGGGAACAUGGGUUCUUGCAAUGGAGGAGAAUGGGAAUUCUGGUUUGGAGAAGGGGAGGGUGAGAGAGUUGAACGUUGCUGCUGCCAUUAGCAUUUAGCCGAGAGAAACAAGGGGAGUGGGUGUUGGCAGUUGCUUCUGCAUUGGGAGGACCCUGAGGACUAGUGGUUAACAAAGGGAAAGGGGGUGUUAUUAUUAACCAAUGUUGGGUGUUGGUCCACGUAGCUGAUAUGAAAUUCUCAUAUAUUAGAAUGUGCAUGCCAUCUGCAAUUUUUUUACUUAUUUUUAUAUUAAAUUUGUUUAAUAUAUUAUUUGAUUUUACAUUUUAAUAUGAUAUUUAUUUUUUAUUUAAUUUGAUACACAUAUUUAAUAAAAAUUAUAUAUUUUAGUUUAGAUCUAUAUAAAUUUAAUUUUUUAAAUAUAUUGUUCAUGUUUUGUUAUAGAUAAAUAAUUAUCAAACAUAUUUUCAUGUUUUUAUUAUUAAAAACAUUUUUUUCUAUUUAUGAUAUGCACCUUCUAUUUUUUAAAAUAAGAAACUAAAACAUAUUUAUAAUAAUAUAAUUUAUUUUGUAAAAAGUAUGCUUUUUAAUUUUUUUAAAUGAAUGAUAAUAUAGAUAUAUUAUUGGUUUAAUAUGUAAUUUGAUACUUGAGUUUGAUAUAUUUUUUAAUGUAAUAGUUAUGUUAUUUUUUUAUUCAAUUUUGGUACCAAAGAUAAUGAUCUUAACUUUUUAGUGUUUAAUUUGAGCUCUAGGAUGGAUUUAAUGAAAGUUAAUUACUAAUAUUAUUAGAUUUAAAUAUUUCAUGAAUUUAUUAAUAGAAUAAAUUUAGUUUUAAUUAUGAGUUUAUUUAAUUUGUUAAGCACAAUCCGAUAAAUCAUGGCUUAAUUCGGUUUUUAGAGUUGAUUUGUAAUCAACUCUAAAAACCGAAUUGAACAUUAAAAAAAUUAACACAUUGGAUCAAAAAAAACAUAGGUAUCACAUUAAAAAAAGAUGUUAAAUUGAAAUACCAAAUUUCGCAUUAAGCUUAUAUUAUUUGCAAUUUAUCUAUACAAUAUAUUAAAUGUCGGAUUAAGUUAAUUUUACUUAUUAAUCGAGUUUCAAUUAAAAAAUUACCAAAUAUUAUAUAUUUUAUAAAAUAAUUUUUUAUACACCAUAGUUUUUUUAUUUAUAUAUUUGACAUUAAUUGUAUUUUAUAAGAAUUAAAGUGUGUGAUGAAUAAAAAAUAAAAGCAAAUAAGGACACUGUACUGUAAUCAUGAUGGCACGUAAGGAUACCAGCUAAGCUAAGCUGAGCUUCCAAACUUCUUUUAUUUUUAUUUGGUAUUAUAACUUAUUUGAUCCUCUACUUUUUAAAAAUAUCAUUUUAACCCUUUAUUUUUUUUAUUUCUUUAAAUAUUUAAACUUGUGUUUUUAUUAAAUCAUCCUAAAAUAAAUGAAAAGUUAACUUUUUUUUAAUUUUCCUAAUGUUAUAUAUACUUGGAUUGUCAUGUAAAUAACACAUUAGCAUUUAACUGAUUUUUUUAAAAUUUAGAACUUCAUAAAAAUUAUUAAAAUAUUUUUAAAAAUUAAAAAUUAUUUUAAAAAUUAUAAAAUAUUAAAUUUUUUUUUAAUAAUCUAAAUUUUAAAAAAUUAAUUAAAUUCUGAAAUGUUAUUAACAUGAUAUACCAUAUUAGCAAAGUUAACAAAUAUUAAAUGUCUCAUUCAUUUUAAGGUAAAUUGAUUAAAAUACAAAUUUAAAGACUAAAAAGAGAAAACUAAAAUAAAUAAAGGACUAAAUGUUUUAUUUUUAUUUUCAUUUUUGUUGUCAACCCUAAUUGGCGCGCUCUCUUAAAAUCCCUCAUUUCUCUCUUUCCCACACUCCUCCUAAAACCCUCUCAGCCACCCCCCCUCUCUCUCUGUCACACACAGCAGCCAAGCAAACGCAGAAUACACGCAUAAAAAGGGAGAGAGGAAUCAAUUUAACCAUCCUCUUCUUCAUCUUCAUCUUCAUCUUCAUCUUCAUCUUCAUCGCUGUUAUCGAUCAUCUUCUUCGCCGCCGCCGUCGCCACCAUGGACCAGCAAUCUCAGCUCGCUGUCAUCUUAGGAUCCGACCCGGUCCCAUUCGAAACCUUAAUCUCUCACUUGAUGUCAUCUUCCAACGAGCAACGUUCACACGCCGAGGCUUUAUUCAAUGUUUGCAAGCAAUCUGAUCCUGAUGCUCUCUGCCUCCGGCUUGCUCACCUUCUUCAGGUCUGUGCUCAACCGGAUACUCGUGCCAUGGCUGCUAUUCUCCUUCGUAAGCUGUUGACUUGUGAUGAUUCCUAUAUCUGGCCUCGUCUCAACGUUUCCACUCAUUCCUCUAUCAAAUCUGUGCUCUUGAAUCAAAUCCAAGUCGAAACUGCUCAAUCUUUGUCUAAAAAGUUAUGCGAUACUGUUUCGGAGCUUGCUUCUAGUAUUUUGCCGGAGAACGGAUGGCCAGAGCUGUUGCCGUUUAUGUUUCAAUGUGUUUCUUCCGAUUCCCCUAGAUUACAGGAGUCUGCUUUUUUGAUAUUUGCGCAGUUGAGUCAGUAUAUUGGUGAUGUGUUGACUCCUUUCAUAAAGGAUCUGCACACUGUUUUCUUGAAGUGUUUGAGUGGAAAUUCUAAUGCGGAUGUCAAAAUCGCGGCCUUGAAUGCGGUUAUCAAUUUUAUUCAGUGCUUGACCAGCUCAUCUGAUCGGGAUAGGUUUCAGGAUCUUUUACCAGCAAUGAUGAAGACCUUGACGGAGGCUUUGAAUAACGGGAAUGAGGCUACGGCUCAGGAGGCGCUAGAGUUGUUGAUUGAGUUGGCAGAGAUGGAGCCUCGGUUUCUUAGGAGGCAGAUUGUUGAUGUGGUGGGUUCUAUGCUGCAGAUUGCGGAGGCAGAAUCACUUGAGGAAGGAACUCGUCACUUGGCAAUUGAAUUUGUAGUUACCUUGGCAGAGGCCAGGGAACGGGCUCCCGGAAUGAUGAGGAAGCUGCCUCAGUUUAUUAGUAGAUUAUUUGCAAUAUUGAUGAGAUUGUUGCUUGAUAUUGAGGAUGACGCAGCGUGGCACACUGCAGAAGUUGAGGAUGAGGAUGCUGGAGAAACUAGCAAUUACGCUGUGGGACAGGAAUGUUUGGAUCGUCUAGCAAUUUCCUUAGGUGGAAAUACUAUUGUUCCUGUUGCAUCUGAGCAAUUUUCAACUUAUUUAGCUGCUCCUGAGUGGCAAAAGCAUCAUGCUGCGUUGAUUGCCCUUGCACAGAUUGCCGAGGGUUGUUCCAAGGUAUAGAUGUAGCACUUUUAAGCACUAGCACUGUUAUUUACGAAUGACAUUAUUGUUAUGUCCAACACCGGAAAUGGACCAAUAAAAUUUGCUUCCAACUAUGGCUGUAAAUGCAUGUAUUUUCCAUUUAUUACUUGAACAAUGAGCUAUAAUUUGUUUAGUAUCUCUUGAUUCUGGUGGUUUUAACCAUAACUUUUCUUGAGGAUUCAGUUCAUGUUUUGAAAGGGAAAUAAAAAAAAGAUCACAUUGUGUAGAGUUUGGACAUGUUCCCUGUUUUUGUUGAAUUUUAAUUUGCUGCUGUACUUGCAGGUUAUGGUUAAAAAUCUGGAACAAGUGGUUUCUAUGGUUUUGAACUCCUUUAACCAUUCUCAUCCCCGUGUGAGGUGGGCAGCUAUUAAUGCAAUCGGGCAAUUGUCUACCGACUUGGGUCCUGAUUUGCAGAACCAAUAUCACCAAAGAGUAUUGCCUGCCUUAGCAGCGGCUAUGGAUGACUUCCAAAAUCCUAGAGUACAGGUUAGUUACAAAUGUAUAAAAUUUACCUCAGGGCUAUAGAUUAUGCUUUUAACCGUUGCUAACUAUUAUUCCUCUGCCCUUUACAUAGAGAUAAUGUGUCUACCUGAUCUUUCCCUUUCUUUCUGUGUUUGCAUGGUAUAAUUGAUACCUCUCUCCCCCCACCCAUAAACAUCAUUUAUCCAGCUUGUUUCUGUAAUUUCCUCCUACUAAAGUUGUCAAUGCAUGCACAUGGUGUCUCUAUGGUGCAUCGCUUGCUUUAGUUAAUGCUUAAUUAAGUGGAUGUCUCCUUAUUUGUUUAUAUAAUUUACUUUAGUCAUCAAUAAAAACUUGCUAAAUUUCCAGUUUGGAACAUUUCAACUUGUUACUAGCAGAUUAUUUUCAUCACUCUUUAGAAUCCAUUUAUGGUCAUUAUGCCAAAUUUCUAAAUGGUCAAAAGAUAUGUUAUGUUAUCAAAUAAUGGCCACAAAGUUGUUAGAUUUCGUUGUACAAUUCUCUAUCUUGCUUCUUCUUGAAAGACAAAAGGGAACUUCUAUUUUUGCUAGCAUUUAUACAGAUUAAUUUCUAAAAUGGUGGAUGCAUUUGCAAGAGCCUGAGAAUGGAUUGUGAAGGGAAUUAAUUGAUUGGAGAGUGGAUGCUGCAUCAUGAUUUCCUGAUUAUUUUAUGAAUUUUCUUGUGGCGGGGGGUGGGGAAUCCUUGUUUAUGUGUUCAUGUGGAUAUUGAGUUGAUGAAUGAUGCUUAGUUACCUUUUAUUGAGGAAACUGAAGUAGCUAGCUUGUGCUCCUUUUUGUAUGAACUUUUAACAGUCUUAUUAUGUUGUAAAGAGUUUUUUCCCUACCUUAUUUCAUGCUGGUUAGGUAUUUGCAUGUUCAAGAUUUUCCUGUUUAUUUUGUAUAACAGUUGAUUUUGCUAUAUAUAAUUGUCUUAACAGGCCCAUGCUGCUUCAGCUGUGCUCAACUUCAGUGAGAAUUGCACUCCAGAAAUUUUAACACCUUACUUAGAUGGAAUUGUUAGCAAAUUGCUUGUACUUUUACAGGUAUGAGUUAUGACAGUUGGAGUUAUAAAUAUCACAUCAAGAAUGAUGAAUCAAUUUUAUUAAAGGAGUUUUUUGUUUGUUUUUUGGGUUUUUAACAUAAGAUAUAACAUGCAGAAUGGGAAACAAAUGGUGCAAGAAGGGGCCUUGACUGCAUUGGCAUCAGUUGCUGACUCAUCUCAGGUAUAGAUUUUGCCCUAAAGAAAGCUAUAUUAAUCAUGAAUUUAUAUAUAUUUUUCUAGAUGACUCAGUUUGACAGUAUGGGGGUUUGCAGGAGCACUUCCAAAAAUACUAUGAUGCGGUUAUGCCUUACCUGAAAGCUAUCUUGGUGAAUGCAACUGACAAAUCUAAUCGUAUGCUUCGUGCCAAAUCCAUGGAGUGUAUUAGUCUUGUUGGAAUGGCUGUUGGAAAGGAGAAGUUCAGAGAUGAUGCUAAGCAGGUUGGUACAAGUGUAAAAGCGCCAUUCCUGUGUCAAAUUGUUUUCUUUUCCUCUUCUAGUUAUUUUCUUAUAUCUCAGAAGUCAUGGAUGGUUAAGAUAUUUGAGUUUAGUGAUACCAUUAGUUAGGGAGUGUAAUGGUGCAAUUUGGAGCAAGUAUCUGCCUUCCCCCUGUGACUUUUGUAAUUUGUAGCAUAUAUUUUUCUUUUUCUUUCAUCUCAUUACUGUUUAAUUUCAUUAUACUGUAAAAUUUAUUAAUUAUAUUGAUAUUUCCACCAAGUGUUUACAUCUUGUUUUGUUCUUUCAUCAAAUAUAAGCUUACCUUUUUUUGUAUCCUUCUUCCUUAUUGCGAGGUUAUGGAAGUGCUAAUGUCAUUGCAAGGAUCCCAAAUGGAAACAGAUGACCCGACAACAAGUUACAUGCUGCAAGUAUGCCCAUAGCACAGGAACUGCUUAGACAAUAUCUUUCACAUUUUAUUUGUCCUUGCUUAUGAUUAUAUGACCUUAUUACAGGCAUGGGCCAGACUUUGCAAGUGUUUGGGACAAGACUUCCUCCCUUACAUGAGUGUUGUCAUGCCUCCCCUUCUCCAGUCUGCUCAACUGAAGCCAGAUGUGACUAUUACAUCUGCAGAUUCAGAUAAUGAUAUCGAGGACUCUGAUGAUGAAAGGUUAUACUUUGUUACUGUUUUAAAUAAAUUUGCCAGUAACGACAUAAAUGUCAAUACAUGCAUGUAUAUUUUUUUCAUCCUCAUUUGUAUAGGUAAAAAACUCUUUUCUCAUGUCUUCUACUUCUCUAUAUUUUCAUUCAAAAACAUAAACAAUCUUAGAAACACACACCCAUGCUUGCAUGUGCACAGACACUGCAUGUACACGUAAAGAAUCCUAGCCUUAGCUGUGUUCAUCCAUGGAUGGUUGGCUGGCUUAUAGCAAUUUCAUUCUGAGCAGUAUUAUUUGGUACAAUUUGUUACUAUUUUAGAAUUACGCCAAUAAGUAACUUGAAUGUUGAUACAUUCAUCUGUAUCUUGUUUAUCCUUCCAUCAUUUGUAUAGGCCAAGGCUCAAUCUCCUCUCCUCCCCCUUCUCUUUUCUACUUCUCUCUAUGCUACACAAAAAUACAUACAAAGAUGAUCUAAGAAAUUCCUGCUCAUGCUCAUGUCUGCAAACACCACAUUGACACACAGACUUCUGGCGUGACUGUGUUGGCUUAGAGAAAUAGAAUGUUAUUUUGUAAUAUGUUUUGUGUUAUAGUAAGGUAUGUCUGGUAUUGUAUGUUCAGUAUGGAAACCAUUACCCUCGGGGAUAAAAGAAUUGGGAUCAAGACUAGCGUCCUGGAGGAAAAGGCAACAGCAUGUAACAUGCUUUGUUGCUAUGCUGAUGAGUUGAAGGAAGGAUUUUUUCCUUGGAUUGAUCAGGUGUGUUUCAAUUCAAUGUAUUGGGUUAUUAUUCUCGACUUUCUAGCAAUGUGAUACUAGCAAAAUGGUGGACAUAUGGUACAGGUUGCCCCGACUCUAGUUCCUCUUCUUAAAUUUUAUUUCCACGAAGAAGUUAGAAAAGCUGCUGUUUCAGGUAGAAUGGUUAUGAUAUACUGUUUCUCUUUUACUUAAAAUGUUUUCCUUUUCAAGUUUGUUAGGCUUCUAUUAAUUGUCUUGGCCAUUUCUUUUAUUUUGUUUGUAGCUAUGCCAGAGUUAUUGCGUUCUGCAAAAUUAGCUGUGGAGAAGGGAAUGGCUCAAGGGCGUAAUGAGACCUAUGUAAAGCAAUUGUCUGAUUACGUUAUUCCGGCUCUAGUGGAGGCAUUGCAUAAGGUUAUUGUUGUUUGUUCUUAGGAGUAUUCAUGUAUCGAAACUUGCAUUAUUGAUAUGUUGUUUGUCAUAGAUGAAAACUUAAAUUACCACAUUCUUGCAGGAACCUGAUACGGAAAUAUGUGCAAGCAUGUUAGAUGCAUUGAAUGAAUGUGUACAGGUUUGUGCUAUUAUUAAAUGAAGUUAAUUAUGAAGUGUCUCUUUUUUUCACUGUUUUCUGUUUGAAAUUAUUCUGCUUUUGAAUGAAUUUUAUUGAGAAGAGAUGGUUAGAAUUUAUUUAAAUAAAUAAAAACAAGGAUGGUUACUUGAACUUAAUAUGGUAUUUUAACAUUCGCUAAUAAGUUGAACUGAUUCCUCAAUUAAACCUGUCGUGUCUGUUAAAACUAAUAUUUCCUGGCUGUCUACGAGCUCUUGUUUCUCUCUCCUUUAGUCAAUAUAUGUGACUUAAGUAUUUGAGAAAACAUUUCAGAGCUCCAUUCCUGGCCUUUUUCUUUCAUUCAUUUUGGUUCACAUGUAUCAGUACCUUUGAUAAGAGAUUGUUUAUAAUAUAUGAAGUACUAAGUCUUCAUGCCCAAUGUCUGAGAACUUUUUUUGUACUAACUACUAAGUGCUUAGCCCCAAUGUCUGAGAACAAUUUUUCUCUUUCAGAUCUCUGGUCCUCUGCUAGAUGAAAGUCAAGUUAGGUCUAUUGUGGAUGAGAUAAAGCAAGUAAUCACAGCUAGUGCUAGCAGAAAAAGUGAGAGAGCUGAAAGAGCCAAAGCUGAAGACUUUGAUGCUGAGGAGGGAGAGUUGAUUAAAGAGGAAAAUGAACAAGAGGAAGAAGUUUUUGACCAAGUACGAAAAUAAAAGCCAUGAUAUAAAGCACAAAAAUGACAAGCUAAUAUUUAUUUAUCUGUUAUUAUCCUUUUCGGAUCCAUUAAAGCAUCCUUUUCUGCUUCCAGGUGGGUGAAAUCUUGGGAACUUUGAUCAAAAGAUUUAAAGCCUCUUUCCUGCCUUUCUUUGAUGAGCUAUCUUCUUAUCUUACUCCUAUGUGGGUGAGUUCCAAGAAAGUUGUCUCUUGUUUCCAAAAUCAGUUCUUGAGGAACGUCCAGAGUAAAAAAGUUCUUUCCUGAAGUAUGCUCAUAUAUUUCUCUAUCUUUGUAUGUUGUAUAAUACAGGGCAAAGAUAAGACACCUGAAGAAAGAAGAAUUGCAAUUUGUAUUUUUGAUGAUGUUGCCGAACAGUGUCGUGAGGCAGCUUUAAAGUAAGCUGCCUAAUUUUCUUAUACUUGUUAUUAUCAUAGAAGAAUCAUUUGAUGCAAUUGCUUAUUGCUGUAAUUUGGUUGAACAGAUAUUAUGACACAUAUCUUCCUUUCAUAUUGGAGGCUUGCAAUGAUGAGAACCCAGAUGUGCGACAGGUAUGUAUUUUCUUAGUUCUGGCAACCAAAGUGCUAUGGAUUGUUGAGACUUGAGAUUGAAUUAAAUAUUAUGAUUUUAUGUUCCAGGCUGCAGUAUAUGGGCUUGGUGUUUGUGCAGAAUUUGGUGGACCUGUAUUUAAGCCACUUGUUGGAGGUAAACUUUGCUUUAUGGUCUAUAACGUGGUUAUUUCUUGUAUAGAAUAACAUAUUUGUGUCUUUUUCCAGAGGCUUUAUCAAGGUUAAAUGCUGUAAUUCGACAUCCUAAUGCUUCGCAACCUGAAAAUGUUAUGGCAUAUGAUAAUGCUGUUUCUGCUUUGGGAAAAAUAUGUCUGUUCCACCGAGACAGUAUUGAUGCAACUCAGGUAUGGCAGGCCAUAAAAUCAUCUUUCCAAGUUAUUUUUCCCUUUUGAUAUGAAAGGAAAAAUCUGUGGUUUGCAUUAAAAAAAAGCACAUUUCUGAGCUGUUGUUUGAAGUCCCCAAAUGUAUCUACCUGUUAAAGCCAGUGCCAUGUCUUAUGUACAAUGGGCCAUACUGUUCUCUAUGUUUGUGCUUGAAACUAUUGCACAUUUUAAUAUUCUAAUCAACUCUUAGGGUAGAGGAGAGCCUUGGUGGAAUUGAAGAGCACAUUUUUUCUCCCCUCUUCAUUUUUUGUUAGUGGCUGCAAAAGUAAAUUAAAGCGUUUUUUGACAUGUUCAUGGAUGCACAGUGUUACGUAUUAUAUAGUUUUGUGUAUACUAGCUGAGCAUCAAAUUAAGAACCAUUGUCUCUAAAAGGUAAGUUGAUGGCCUUCUCGAUGGUUUUUCCAAGGUUUUCAAUAAUCCUAACAAACAUUUUUCUUUUCUAUGUUGUAAAAAUGGUCAUACCAGUAAAUUUUAACUCUAUCAGUUUGGAUUUAGUGCUGUUUUCUAAGAGAUGUAAAUAUUUGAACAAGAUGAACAUCUUCAUAGAAAGUUUAAACAAUUGAAACAUUCUAGUACCACUGGUGCAUGAUGAUGCAGUUUGAUAGUCACUAAACAACUCUCCUUCCUCUCAGAUAAAUAUAUGCUUUUCUAAUAGACAUUACCCUGAAUUGGUAUAUUCCUAGGGCAUCCAUAUCUUAUGUUACAUUAGAUAUAAUGCUUUAUUGUGGAUCAUUUUAUAUUGCUGGGGAGUCUUGCUUGUGGAUCUUCUCUAUGUAUUAAUACACAGAUAUUUUACAACUUCAGAUAGAGUCAGUUCUGUAUACACUUCUUUUGAUCUGCAUUGCAUUUUUCACAUAAGUAAUACUGGUUGCUUAUGUCUUAAAAGCUUAUUUGAUGUUUUAUUUUUGUUUUCUUAAUGUUUGCUUUGCCUUGCGCACAACCUUUUGUGUUUGGUAGGUUGUUCCUGCAUGGUUAAACUGCCUGCCAAUAAAAGGUGAUCUGAUUGAAGCCAAAGUUGUUCAUGAACAACUUUGUUCAAUGGUUGAGAGGUUAGAUCAGCUUUUUUUUAGCUAACCUUGUCUCAUUUCAGGUUUUUUUUUUUUGGCUUCAAUAUUUUGUUAAUGCCCAUUAUUAACAAUGUCUCUAAUAUGUGUUCAGGUCCGACAAUGAAGUUUUGGGUCCCAACCAUAAUUUCCUUCCUAAGAUUGUUUCAGUUUUUGCUGAGGUAAAAUUUCAACUUACCUUAUCAAACUCUUCUUAACAUAAAGGUUAAUUCUUAUUUGAAUUGCUUGUUCUGAACAAACAAUUCAAAUAAGAAUUGUGGCUAUCUGUUCUGUUUAUGCGGUUUGGUUUUUAUGGUGCAUUUGAUGAAAUCUACUGCUGUUGUGUAGGUUUUAUGUGGUAAGGAUUUAGCCACAGAACAAACCGCAAGUAGGAUGGUGAAUCUACUGAGGCAACUUCAACAGACUUUACCACCAGCAGCAUUGGCUUCAACUUUAUCAUCUUUGCAGCCGCAACAACAGCUUGCUUUACAAUCCAUCCUCUCCUCCUAGUUAAUAUUGGCUCAAUACUCAUCCGUCUUGUGCAUCAAUGCAUAUAUUUAUUUUAUAUACCAAAUUCUUUUCACGGAGAAGGUUCCCUUUGUUUUUGCAUCAUGUUCUUUUUACUCCCUCGGUGAUUGAAAUGAACUUUCCUCCCCAGAUAUAUAAAUUUUAUAGAAUGUGUAUAUCAUGAAAGUAUCUAUUUAUGGAACAAGAAGCGAGAGUGGUGAUUCGUGUGGUUGGUGAGCAUAUUUUUUGUGUUAAAAAAGUGCAUUUAGGUUUGAGAAGUCGAUGUUCUUGUAGCAGUUUUGGUCUCAUGUGUCUCUUCGUUUCAAAUUUUACAGAGAAUUUGGAUUGUAAUUCUUUCAUUAUGCUUGCAAUUUGGAUCAUAAAAAAGAACAAUAAUAUUAUGUGUUGUCGGUUUUCUAAUAUGUUUAUAUUUGCAUUUUCUUUUUGGUCAAUUCUCAUCAUUAGUCCUUGAAUUAUUUUUAUAUUCUAAUUUGGUCAUUUUAGUAUACUUUUUUAAGGAAUGUGGUGUGUACGAACUGGUUGUUUACUUUGCUUUUAUGUCUACCUUUAGUAUUGAAAGAUGAUUAUCACAAAUUUCAUAUAGCAAAUAAAAUUUAAAUCCCAAGAUUCUUUGUUUAAAAUUUCCAACUUUUUUGUUUUUAUAAAAAUAGGUUUCUUUGGACAUCAUAUUUAUAAAGGCUACGAAGGAUUAAACCAUACUGAAAAGUUGUCUACGAUUACGUAAUUGUUGUAUUAGAUUUACUGUCCUAAAUAGUAAAUUAAUGUUACCCGUCAUUCAAUUAUUUUAAUUUUAAUCUAACGAAAGAAGAUGGAAGUAAACCCAGGGCAUUGUCAAGCUACUUGAGAUAAAUCAUUGUUGAAUGGAGAACAUUUUAAAGGUGAAAUUAAACUUAUAAUCUCAAAAAUUGAAGCGAACUUUGAAAAUGCUUUGCUUUUAUUUAUAAAAGAGAUUCCAUUAUAAUCCAACCUGCUUGAUAUUCCCCCUCUAUUUUGUUGUUUCUUCCAUUUGGAUCCUUUUUCAACGCUCCCAUUCUCUUUUUAGUGGGAGCCUACUUUCUCCAAGUGUCAUGCCUGCCUGCCUUCACCAAUCCCUCCUUAUCAUUUGGUCAACUCAAAACCCUUUGAGAUAUCAGUCACUAACUAUACAACAGAUUAUGCCCAACAUGCUUCCAACAAUGUCAAGACACCCUUCCCACAAACUUUCAAUAUUCCCCUAUAUAAAAACCCAACCCCCUCACCUCUUUUCUUUCACCCCCCCUCCCAACAACCUUUUCUUCUUUCCAAUGGAACACCAAGUUCAAACCCAACAAAAAGGCAAGUUCAAGGAGAGGAGAAACAAGUUUGUUGGUGUAAGGCAAAGACCAUCAGGGAAAUGGGUUGCUGAGAUCAAAGACACUACACAAAAGAUAAGGAUGUGGCUUGGUACUUUUGAAACAGCUGAAGAAGCUGCUAGAGCUUAUGAUGAAGCUGCUUGUCUUCUUAGAGGUUCUAAUACAAGAACCAAUUUUGCAACUCAUGUUCCUACUGAUUCUCAUCUCUCUUUGAAGAUUAGGAACUUACUUAAUCAUAAGAAGAGCUUGAGGCAAGGGAAGAAUAAUAAUAGUAAUAGUACUACCAACUCCAACAAAAUCACCAUUAAAGCAAGUACUAUUGUUGGCAGUAACGACAGUAUUAAUAGUAGUAUCAGUAAUGCUGGUACCCAUAGUUUUAUGUGUAAUUUGUUGGUGUUUGAAGGUGCGUACAGGCCGGAGUUGAGCGGUUUUGUAGGGGAGCUUGGACCGGAUCCGUCACAGUUGGGGCAAUCCUGGAUGAUUCCAACAGGGUUUGAUCAGAUUCCUUUAAGCCAAGGACUGGAGUUGCCACAAGAAGUUGGUGUUUUGCCUCAAGGGAUUGAUCAAGAGCUCAUGGAAUUUGAACGCUUGAAAGUAGAAAGACAGGUAUCAGCAACUUUAUAUGCAAUGAAUGGGGUUAAUGAGUACCUUCAAAGUGCAGCAUUUGAUCCGAAUGAUGCUAUUUGGGAUCUUCCUACACUUUGUCACUUAUUCUGUCAAAGUUGAUUUCUCUCUUUCUAACUAUGAAACUAGAGGCUGUUUCUGUUCCUAGUGUUUAGAAACAACAAUUUUCAAUGUCUGAAAUGAAAACUAUUGCUGUUUCAGUUAUGUUCCUCACACCAUUUUUGCUCUUUCUUCUAACAAGUUCCGGGUUUUUUGCUCCUACUCUUUCUUCUAACAAGUUCCAUGUUAUACUCAAUUCUGAUUCUAACAAGUUCCAUGGUGAAGUCCUAUUAGAUGAUAUCCCUUUAUUUAUGUUCGAAUAUUGAUCAAACACUUAUGUUAAAAAUGAGUACUCUAAAUAAAAUAGGUAAAAAUAUAAUAAAAGCUGUUAUGUCAGAUUGUGUUUUACUCCAUUUAUUAAAAAAAUUGAUAAAUUAAUCACUAUACAUUAAAUUAAAAAAUAAACCAAUCCUGCUAUUAAAAUUUUAUUCUUUUUUAUUGUCAAAAAACUAAUCCUUGUACAUAAACAAAUGUACACAUGAUAUAUCACUUGUCAUUAUUUAAUUAUUCUAUCAAUCAUGUUAGUUUAAAAAAAAAUUACUUUUCAACUUCCAUCCAGAGAUUAAUUUCGACUAACUUGUCCAUUUUUUGAGUGAAAACAAAAUAUAUUUUAACUCUAACUCUUAAUAGAAUGAAAUAAAGUAAAAAUGAUUUGGCCAUUUUUUGCUCCUAUAAACUACACCUUUCAUAAUUAAGAAGGAAAACAUUUAUAACAAAAAAAGGGUGUGCAACACAGAUCUGAAUAUCACUUCAUUGAUGGCAUAAAAAGGGUCUAGACAGAUUAUGGGUACAAUUUGACAAUCUUACAGCAACCAUAAAUGUUGUUUAUGGAACACCUUUCAUAAAUAGAAGACACAUUUAUAACAAAAAAUGACAAACACAACUAUAAAUAUUACUUCAUUGAUAGCAUAAAAAGCCCUUAGGCAAAUGAUGGGCACAAUUUAACAAUCAUACAGCACACAGGAAGACAGUGCUACACAAGAGCAAAAGAUAGGAAUACCCUUACACACAGAGCUGAUAUUCAAAAGUAAAUAUUUCAGCAUACGAACAUCAAUAGUCUUCGGCAUCCUCUUCGUCCUCUACACCUUCGGCUCCGACUUCUUCAUAAUCUUUUUCGAGAGCAGCCAGAUCCUCACGAGCUUCAGAGAACUCUCCUUCUUCCAUGCCCUCACCAACAUACCAAUGCACGAAAGCUCUCUUUGAGUACAUGAGAUCGAACUUGUGGUCAAUGCGUGCAAACACCUCAGCCACUGCUGUGUUGUUGCUUAUCAUGCAAACAGCUCGCUGCACCUUAGCGAGAUCUCCUCCAGGUACAACAGUUGGAGGCUGAUAGUUAAUACCACAUUUGAAGCCAGUAGGGCACCUACACAUCCAAUCGAAAAAAAACUUUUCAGAGAAGGCAUGAAUAUAUUGGAGACACAAUGACAUCCUUAAAAUACAUUGGGCUACUAUAUUCCUGCAUGAGAUACUUAGGUAUAUACUAUUAUAUAAACCAAUCCCAUAUGAUAAUGAUGGCAAGGGCAAUUUCCUAGCUAGUGAACUAAUGAAGCAGAGUUUUCCAUCCUUCCAUAUGAAAUUCUCUUACCAGUCAACGAACUGCACGGUCCUCUUUGUUUUGAUGGUAGCAACAGCAGCAUUAACAUCCUUGGGGACGACAUCUCCUCGAUACAUCAAGCAACAUGCCAUGUACUUCCCAUGCCUAGGGUCACAUUUUGCCAUCAUGCUUGAAGGCUCAAACACAGCAUUUGUGAUCUCGGGAACCGACAAUUGUUCAUGGUAUGCUUUCUCAGCUGAGAUGACAGGUGCAUAUGAAGAGAGCAUGAAAUGGAUACGGGGGUAUGGAACCAAAUUGGUUUGGAACUCAGUAACAUCCACAUUGAUAGCUCCAUCAAACCUUAAAGAAGUUGUCAAGGAUGAUAUGAUUUGAGAUAUCAAACGGUUCAAGUUAGUGUAAGUUGGCCUCUCAAUAUCAAGGGAACGACGGCAUAUGUCAUAAAUUGCUUCAUUAUCCAAGAGCACAGCCACAUCAGUGUGCUCAAGAAGGGAAUGAGUAGACAGAACACUGUUGUAAGGCUCCACAACAGCUGUUGAGACCUGUGAGUUUAACAGAGACAAAACCAAAAUGAAAAUUGCAUACCACAAAAAGGUUUCAAAGGCCAAACAUGAAGCCUAGUUCUAGCAUACUCAAAUGCAUAUUACCGCAGGCUUUUAAGCUAAAAUGGUUACCUGUGGUGAAGGGUAGAUGGUGAAACCAAGCUUUGACUUUUUACCAUAAUCCACCGACAAGCGUUCUAACAACAAAGAUCCCAGACCAGAACCAGUUCCACCACCAACAGCAUUGAACACAAGAAACCCUUGUAAACCAGUGCAGUUAUCAGCUAACUUCCUAACACGGUCAAGGCAAAGAUCCACAAUUUCCUUCCCAACUGCAAAAAAAGACAAGCAUCAAUCUUUGUAAGUAACCCAACAAAAAGAAGAACCACAGAUGAUGUUUAUAGUGUACUUGUAUAAUGGCCUCUGGCAAAGUUAUUGGCAGCAUCUUCUUUGCCAGAAAUAAGCUGUUCAGGGUGGAAAAGUUGUCGGUAAGUCCCAGUCCUAACUUCAUCGAUCACAGUAGGUUCCAGAUCCACAAACACAGCUCUAGGAACAUGUUUCCCUGAACCAGUUUCACUAAAGAAAGUGUUGAAAGCAUCAUUUGCUACACCUACAGAGGUGUCACUGCAACAAAAUCACAAACACAUUGAAAACCAACUGUUAUCCCUUCAGAAUCUGUCAUGAAAGAACAUAAAGUUAGCAUCCUUUUGCUUAAAAAAAAUUGGGUUUUGAAGAUAAAAACCUGGGCAUCAUUCCAUCGGGUUGGAUUUCAUGUUCAAGGCAGUAAAGCUCCCAACAUGAGUUACCGACUUGAAUACCAGCUUGACCUAUAUGAAUGCUUAUGAUUUCCCUCAUGUUUUGGUGAAAAAAAGGAAUGGAUUUGAUGAUCUAAGAGGAAAGGAUCUGAGAGACGAAUGUUAUGGAGAAGACAGUACAGAGAGACCCAGUGAGCGCAGGAUUUUUUUCAAAGUGGGAGAGAAGAUAAUAUAAUAAUAUAUACAUACAAAAAUAGCAUUUAACUAAUGGGAAUUGAUGAUAUUUUGGCGUCCGACAGCCUUUACGUGGGGCCCAUACUUUUGCUUAGCUGGCCACCACUCACCAUGACCACGACUCUCUUCAAGUCUUUUAAGUCCAAACUAGGGUUGGUUAAAAAUUAAAAAUCAAAUGUGCAAUCGAGUAAAAUUUAAUUUGAUUUAAAAUCAGAAGUUUAAUAUUUGGCAGAACCUUUAUCGAAUAUUUGUUUUUAAAGAAACUAGAGUUUCUUUUAAAAUAUAAUCGAGUUAUUUGAGUUUGAGUUUAUGUAACGCCUCAAUUUUCGCGAAUUCUGUGAAUAUUGACAUAAGUUUAAUUAUGUUAGUGGGCCUUUAGAAGGCCCAAGCUUGAGAUAGAACCCGGUAAUUUUAGUUAAUUUUUGUUCCAUAAGAAAAAUGGAGUGAAAUUAUGAAAUAGGACCUAUGUGAAAAUGUUUAAAAAUGCUAUAGGCUAAUUUGUAGUGGCCAAAUAAAUAGUACUACAAAAUAGGAGGAUUUGCAUGUCAAAUUCCCCACUUUUAAUGUAGUGGCCGGCCAAGGUGAUGGAUAGUUGAUAAUGUAUGCAUUUUAGCAUUUUAAUAGUUAAUGGAUGAUGGGCAUUAGCAUUUUAAUAGUUAAUGGAUGAUGGGCAUGGUAAGCAUUAUGAGCAUAUUUUUAUUGGAAUUAUGGCAUGAGUAUGGCACAAAUAUUAGUAUAUCAUUUAUGUGUCAUAAAAUGUUGAGUGAUAAGAAUAACAAAAGGAAGUAAAGGAAGGUUUUUGUUCAUUCUUUGUUCUUCAUAGCCGAAUUUGAGAGAGAGCAAAUAGGGGAGGAAACCCUUGAAUAUUCGGUCACUAGGAGGGGGAAAAAUUGAAGGUAAGUUCUUGGUACUUUGCUUCUAUCUUGAUGUUCAUGAGUUCGUCUUAAUUCUACCUUAACUCUUGAAGCAUAUUUUAGUUUUUGGGUGUGUUGUGAGCAUUUGGUCAUGAAUUAAAAUGAAGGAAAUGGUUGUUGUUUCAUGUUCUUUUGAUGAAAAAUGGAAGAUAGGUGAAGUUGAGCCAAACAAAUGAUCAUGCAUGUGCCUUAGAUGCUAAAGGGAAAAAUCGGCUAACAUGUUGUGCUUUAAAAUGAUGAAAUGGAGAUUAUGCUUAAGUAAAAAUCAUAGAUAUGUGAUGAUUGAUUGGUGAUAUACAUGUUUAAAUAACAUGCAUGCAAGAUAGGUGUAUGAAAGAGUGAUUUGGUAAUAAAUCUGCUUGGGACAGCAGCAGUAACGUGACUUUGAAAAAUCACCAUAAAUUGUGGGAGAUGAAUUAAAAGUUGAAUAAAUUAUGUAAUUAAAGCUUAAUGAGUCUAGUUUCAAAUGAAAUAAACGAGAACAUAUUUCGAAUUCUGUACAAUGAGAAAUUUUAUUUGUAAUGAAGAGUGGUCAGAUUAGUCAAACAGUGAAACAUGGGAAACUUUAAGAAAAAUAUGGUAUUGAUUGGCCAUACCAAAAAUUCUGAAAAUUUUAUGGAUAGAAGAUAUAUGAGUCUAUUUUCAGGGAAAAUUAACGGCACUUGAUUUGGAGUUUCGUAGCUCCAGUUAUAAAUGAUUUAGUGACUGUUACUCAGGAAGACAGCUUGCAGUGAAAUUAUGAUUAUGUGGUAAACAUUGACAAAAAUUUGUUAAUGAGUUGCUUAUUGAUUUCUUAUAAGCUUACUAUGAUCUGUGGGCGUGGUUGGCCGACUAUUGUAAGGGGUUAAUACGUAGUUUGUAUUUGAAUAGUUAGAUUAACGUGUUAGUAAUCCAAUUGUAGGCGGUUCGUGUGUGGAUCUCGUCAGCAUAUCGUCACAAACAGGUGUGUAACUAAUACCCUCUUUCUUAGUCUAGAUCGGCAAAAGUCGAAAAGCUGAAAUGCCGAAAACCGGUAUUUUGUAGAUUUGCGAGUGUGCGAAUGCUCGUGAGGUAAAUCGAUUAAUGUUUUUGGUAUACUGCAAUGUUUAGACUGCAAAGUGCAUGAUUUCUGUGCCCUCGAUAUUUUGGGGCUUAAUAGGCCAAAAUUGGAAUGAUGGGCUAACGGGCCCAAUUCGGUAAGAACCCUCGGUAGUAAUUCUGUUAGUACGUGAAAGGUAGGAAUAUGCAUGAAAAACCCUAAAAUAGAUAAAUUACUGAAAUACCUUUAAAAGUGGAAAAUUUACAGUUUUACCCCUAAGAUAUAAAUUACCGAAAUACCCCUAGGGUUAAAUUGACCUAAAUGCAUGUUUGACUGUUGUUAUUUACUUCAUGCCAUGUUAUUAUCUGAUGCAUGGGACUGGGAUAUUGACGGAGGAAGUACUGAAAGUGGCUUGUCCACGUACUGGAGGCUUUGCCUCAAUUUACUGUUAACUGAGCAGCAAGGCUGCAAUUGUGGAGUGUUGGGCUGGGUGGGUUGAGCUAUUCCCCACAUGGAGUGUAUGGCUGGUACGGGUAGAGUGUAGUGGUUGGUGGGUUGAGUAGUCUCCCCAAAUGGGCUUGCAUAUGUUUACUGAUGUUGCAUGUAUUUUGAAAUGGGCCUAUGGGCCAUACUGUUAUCUGAAUAAGGGGCUAAGGCCCAGUACCACUGUUACCUGAAUGGGCUUAGGCCCAAUGGGCUUGAGCUGACUUGGGCUUUGAAUGGGUUUUCCUUACACACUGAGUUUCCCCAAACUCACCCCUUCUUUAACCUUGCAGGUGAGCCUUGAUGUGGGUGACUUGGAGCCGGAGGGGAUUCAGAGUGGCCAUGGUGAAUACUUUUGGGUUUGAAAAAGAGAUUGGUUUUCUUAAGUUAUUUUUAAUUACUAUUUAAUUUUUGGAUUGUAAUAAGGCCAUUUUAACUUUAUUUUCUUCUUUGAUUUUUCUGGGAUUAUAUUAUUAAAAACAACUUUAAAUUGAUGGAUACUAAUUCAAAUGGGCUAGACUUAGGGCGUUAUUUCAAAACGAUACUUGUUUUUUUUUUUAAAAUAACACGACGUCACGAAUAUUCGAUUUACCAAAGAUAACCACUCAAAGAAAUUUCAACUUGUUAUAACCAAGUGUGGCAAUGGAUGUGGGCAUGUCUAGGAUUGGAUCCAAUCGGAGAGCUUGGUACUUAAGCAGCCUUCAUGGCUCACCUCCUCUGUUAUGGAUACCUACCUGGUGCCCAGCUUCUAUUCACUUGGUUAGUUUAACAAAAGUCGGCUUUUUAAAACACUAAAAAGGGAACACGGGUUUUUGACUUCAAAGUGGCACGUCGGAUUCGGCCUUAACGUCUGGGCCGGGUUUGGGGUGCUACAGUUUAAUUAAGUUUUUUUGUUAAUUUUUAUAUUUAAGUUUUAACUUGAAUUCAACUCGAUAAUUAAUUUUAGAAUUAAUAACAUAUAUUAAGAAAAAUAAUGUAAUUUAAUAAUAUAAAAACAUGAAAAGCUUGAGAAAGCUCUUGAGUAGUUCGAUUUAAAUAUUAAGCUUGAAUUCGACAUGAUCGAAAGCUUGAGCUUGAGUGGCUCGAUAAUAACCAAAUCGAGUUUGAUUUUUUGAGUCGAGCUUGAGUAGCUUGCGAGCACCAAUGUCUCAUUUAUAUCCCUAGUGUAAGGUUUUUAGAACCAAAUUUGGGGUUGAAUUGAUCGUACCGCCAAUUUUUGGUCCGACUAAUUUAUUCAGUUCAAUUGAAUAAAUUAUUAAAAAUAAAAAUAUUAAAUAUUAAAAAAUAGACAAACUGGUUCAAUUAGUUUUUUUAGUUUAGUUUUUUAUUGAUUUAUAAAAAUAUAAAAAAAAUCACUUUUUAUAAUACCAUAGAACUUAUGAAUGUGAUUUUGUUAAAUUCUCUACUUAGGUGGGAUUCGAUUAAUAGAUCUUACUAAAUCAAGAGUAUUUUUUUAUAGUAGAGUUAUAUAUUUAUUUAUUGAAAAAGAAAAAAUUUCUUAUAUUUCAUAUAGGGUAAACUACACCGAGGACUAUUAAAUCAUUAUUAAGUUUACGUUUUAUUCAUUUAACUUUAAAAAAAUUACAAAAUUAUCAUUAAAUUAUUCAGAAGUUUUUAUUUAAGUCAUUGGGCGAUAAAGUUUUUUUUAAAGUCCGACUACUGAGCUCCAAGCAGUCAGUAUCCAUCGGCGAUAAAAGAUUAUACCUUAGAUCUAAGUCGAUUUGACGUUCAAUGUUAGAGAUCAGAGAAAAAAUUGUUUGGAUUUUGACUAGUAGAUUCAUGACGUUCAAAGUUAUUUCAUGAAAAAAAAUAAACUGCAGAAGAGAAAUGGAAGAAUAACUCUCAAUUUGUGCAAGUGACGCUAACAAAGAAGGUCCUAUAACAAUGAUUUAACAAUCUAAUAACUUAAAUGAAAACUUACUAAUAAUUUAGUGAAUGUAGUUCACCUUUUCAUAUAAAAUCUUUCUAUUUCAUCAAUUUAAGAAUUGAGCUAUCCUUUUAAACUUGAAUGUAUGGUUUGAGCUAAAAAAAUUAUACUGGAAAAUGAAUUUAUACAAGAUUAAAGCUACUUCUUUUAUUUCAACUGAAUAUUAGGUAGGAUUUUUUUCCUGGAACAACUUAAAUUAUAUAUAUAUUCACAAAAUCAAAUCAAAAUAAAAAGAUAUAAGGGGGAUGAGGGAGGACCAGCCAGGAUAGCAUGACAUUUAGGGUUGUACAAUAAUGAGCACCCAACAUUAGGAAGAUGAUGUGUUUUUUUGUUUGUCUGUUUGGAUAAGAAGUAGCAUAGAUUUAUUCACGAGUUGAUUUAUUCGAUAAAGUAUAAAGAUAUUUUUUUGAAAUUUAAAAAAGUUUGAGUAGAAAUAUUAAGUUCGUAAAAUAAGUUUGAUAAAAAAAAAUUAGGUCUAUUUAAAAUAUGGAUAAAGCUUAAGUUGAGUUUUGAUUGUUCAAACCUGGUUUAGUUAAUUUUUAAUAUAUUCUGUAAUUUAUAAAAUAAAAUUAAAAUUAUUGUAAUAUAUAAUAUUAUAAUGUAAACAUUAACAAAAUUUAAGAUGUCUAUAUAUAAAACUUAAAUAAAUGAAAAAAAUACAUACAUUUAUUAAAUAUUAAAUAUUAAAUAUAAAUAAAUACGAGCUGAUUUGGGUAAAAUUUUAUACCUAUAUUUUAAAAUUGGAUCAAGUUUGAACAAACAUAAAAUGUAUUAAUAUUAUACUUAAACUCGACCCAACUCAUGAAUAUAUGUGUAAAUUUUUUCAUUGCCAACAAUAUGAUAAUUAAGAUUUUCUUCUAUUUUCAUAUUUAGAAAAUUAUAUUAAAUUUUAGUUUAUUAACUUAAAUUCCAAACUGAUUUUAGGAGAUAUUCAAUCUUGUACUAAUACUAUUUUAUUCUCUUAAUCUUAUUUGGAUUUGGUUUGAGAAGAAAAUUAAACUCGUAUUUCAAUUCAAUUCGGGUUUGAGUAGAGAAAAUCAGCAUAAUUAUUUUAGAAUGGUCUAGAUUGAACUUGGUUGGAUUAGGUCUACUUUGUACUAUGAGUUUUUAAUGAAUUUAGCUAUUCUAAUUUAAUCAUUUUUGGUUCUUUAUUUAUGUAAAUGUAUAUUUUCAAUAUGACUUUUUUCUAAAUGUGGUAAUAUGUCAUAUGACAUAAUCUCUUAACUAAUAAUUAAUUUUCUUUUUUUUUUAUAUAUAUUCAAUACUUAAUUAUAUAUAAAACCUAUUAACUUAGUUAACAUCAAAUGUCUAGUUAUCAUGAUUAUAGAAUAAAAGAGGUUAAGGUCUCUUUCUAUUAAAAAAUAUACUAUACUUUCUACAUUUAAAUUUUAAAAAAAAUAAUUAGUUUCCCUAAAGAAAAGGUUAGCCAUCCAUAUAGUGAAUAUUCAAAUCCUUGUGAUAACAGAAAAGAAUGAUUCGACAUUGUAAAACCAAAAAUGGAUUAGUGCUAAAAGCAAGGAAAUAAAUGAAUGGAUGAGCUUAUUCUAAGGGAUUAAGAUGGAAGUAUGGAAGAGGGGAUUGUGUGGUAUAAAAGGAGAGGUAUGCAUGCAAUUCAAAAUCAACUCAAGCUAAUCAUCUCCCUCUUCCUCUAGAGGGGAUAAACAGUAUAAUAAAUUACAUUGGAGACAUGGUCGGCGGAAGAAAGGGUAAAGAGAUGGCUCGAUUAACAUUAAUAUCGAUGCUAUUUCUCUGGGCAGGAUCAAUGCUUAUGGUCCAGGGCGGAGAUCCCACCCUUUUUUUUGAAUGGAACGUCACCUAUGGCACCAUUGCUCCUUUGGGAGUGCCAGUAAAGGGUAUUCUUAUUAACGGGCAAUUCCCGGGACCAAAUAUUAACUCUACCACCAACAACAAUAUUGUGAUCAAUGUAUUCAAUAACCUUGAUGAGCCAUUCCUUGUAACAUGGUAAGCGACUAUCAAGAGUAUUUUCUUUUUUACAUUAAUAUGAUUAUGCUAGUGAAGAGUUGAGCUAAUUAUAUGUGGAAAUGGGAUUUGUUGCAGGAACGGCAUUCAGCAUAGGAAGAACUCUUGGCAAGAUGGUGUUCUGGGAACCAACUGUCCUAUCCCCCGUGGGAAGAAUUACACAUAUAAAUUCCAGGUGAAGGAUCAGAUUGGCAGCUACAUCUACUAUCCCGUGACGGCUAUGCAUAAGGCGGUUGGUGGUUUCGGUGGCCUCCGUGUUAACAGCCGUCUACUCAUCCCUGUUCCCUACGCUGAUCCGGCUGAUGACUAUACUCUCUUAGUGGGAGACUUUUUCAACAAGGGACACACCAGCCUCAAGAAGAUUCUUGAUAGCGGUCGCAACCUUGGGAGAUGUGACGGUGUCCACCUUAAUGGGAAAGUUGCGAAAGGUGAUGGGAAGGAUGAACCUCUGUUUACGAUGGAGGCAGGCAAAACGUACAAGUACAGGAUUUGCAAUACGGGUAUCAAGACAUCUCUGAACGUCAGGUUCCAAGGCCACACCAUGAAAUUGGUUGAGAUGGAGGGUUCCCACACAAUGCAGAAUGACUAUGACUCCCUUGAUGUGCACGUUGGACAGUGCUUCAGUGUGCUUGUUACUGCCAACCAGGAACCAAGGGAUUACUAUGUGGUGGCCUCUACCCGUUUUACCAAACGUGAGGUUACAGCAACUGGCAUCAUCCGUUACAAGAAUGGCAAGGGAGCUGCCUCAUCCGAGUUGCCACCACCACCUGUUGGUUGGGCUUGGUCACUCAAUCAAUUCCGUACCUUCCGUUGGAACUUGACUUCUAACGCUGCUAGGCCUAAUCCUCAGGGCUCCUACAAAUAUGGUUCUAUUAACAUUACCCGCACCAUCAAGCUUGCCAACACUGCACAAAGAGUAGAUGGCAAGCUCCGAUAUGCUCUUAAUGGAGUCUCCUAUGUCGAACCAACCACUCCACUAAAACUUGCAGAAUACUAUGGCGUAGCCGACAAGGUUUUCAAGUAUGAUACCAUUCCCGAUGAGCCUCCAAGUGACAACACUAAGGUAACUUUGGCACCUAUUGUCCUCAACAUGACACAUAGAAACUUUGUGGAAAUCAUCUUCGAGAAUCACGAGACCGCCAUUCAGUCCUACCACUUGUCUGGCUACUCAUUCUUUGCUGUGGGGUAAGUAUAGCUUCUAACAUAGCCAAUACAUGUGGUGAUUUGCUUGAGUUGAAGUAAUAAGUUGUAUAAUGAUUUGUCGCAGCAUGGACGUUGGGAAAUGGAGCCCCGAGAAGAGGAUGAACUACAAUCUUCUUGACGCCGUGAGCAGACACACCAUACAGGUAUUCCCCAACUCCUGGUCAGCAAUCCUAUUGACAUUCGACAACUGCGGGAUGUGGAACCUGAGGUCGGAGAUAUGGGACAGGCAUUACCUUGGGCAACAGCUUUAUGCUAGUGUUAUUUCCCCUAACCGAUCCCUCAAGGAUGAGUACAACUUACCGGAAGGUGUAUUGACUUGCGGCAUCGUGCAAGGCAUGCCAAGGCCUCCACCUUUCAGCAGUUAAUUUAAUUAAGCUUAUAAAUCUGUAUCCAAUUAUAGAAUAUGGGGAGAGAGAGGGUGAGAAAAGCUGAGUUCUGUAUAAUAUUUAAUGAAAUAAAAGCUUUUGGAUCACUUUAUUAUUACUAAUUUUCGUGUGUUGCCCUCGAAUAUACACGCAUUUAAGUUAUUUUCAAUAUAAAAAACUGAUAUUUUCAAAAUUGUACAAUAUUUAAAGAUGAAUGAUUUAAAAAAAUGGUUUAUACUACUAAUUAUUUUGAUAUUUUCAAAGUUGAAAUAAAUAAAUAAUUAAGUUAUAUUAACAAAGAAAUUUAAAAUAAAUAAUCUAUAUAUAUUUUGUUGAUAUAUUCAUCAAUAUAAAUAAAUCAUUCUGCUAUGGCGGUUCAACUUUGUGUUUUUUUUUAUUCAUUUAUUUUUGUAAAUUUCAAAUUUGUAUAUUAGAUAUGUACUACUACUAGAUAUGUCAAAUUGUAAAUAUUUAUUUGUCAAAAAGGCUCUUUAAAAAAUGAAAAAAAAAUUAAUUAAGUCAUCGUAUGCAAUUUGUACCUAAUUAAGUCCCUAUCAUUAAUUAAAAUAAUCAAUUAAGCCACAUAAAAUAAAUUGAUCAGAUAGAGAUAGUAAUAACUUCUAUAGUAAUCUAUUAUUUUUCCUAUAAAAAUAUUUAAAAAUUAGAAAAAUAUUAUAAAAAAAUAUAAAUACUAUUAAAUAUUAAAAAAAAUAAGAAAAUUGGUAUAAACUUAAAAAAUUAUAAAAUUAAUAAAACAUAUUUAAAAUAUUUAAAAUUUUAUAAAAACAUUAAAUUUAAAACUCUAUAAAAAUAAUAAAAAUUAUAAAAAAAUAUUAGAAGUAUUAAAUUUGAUAUAAACUUAUAAAAAAUGAUAAAAAAAUAAUAAAACUUGAUUUGGGUCGGAUUAGUCGGUUGGACCGGCUAGAUCAAAAUUGGCAAGAUAUCGAUCCAGAGAAAGCCAUUAGACCGAUUGAUAUUGGAACUGGAUGGUUGAACCGAUUCUUUAUCCUUUUAAUAUAUAUAUUUUAUUUCUUAAUGUUUUAUUUAAUUGAACUGGACGGAUCAGUCGAAAUGGUAAAUCAAUGGCUUAAUUUAAUUUUUUAGAAAAAUUAUUAGAUUAAACCAUAAGCUACAAUGUCUCAUCAACUAAUUGGCUUGUCAAUUUAUUUUAACCGUCAAUGUGAUCAAUCUCGAACACCGUUAAUUAUUUUAAUUAAUGCCAAGAACUUAAUUAGUUGCGAAUUUAAUAUAAAAAUAGGCUUUUUGACAUAUAAAUCUAUUGAAAAUAAGAUUAUUAUUAUUAUUUUUAUCUCCCAAUAAUUACAUGGAAUAUUUGAAAUUCAAGCACUCCCUAGAUGACUCAGCUUGGAGACUAGCAAAACCAAUAAUCAACAUAAAACUAGUCGGAUUUAAGGCACUCUUCGCACGAAGAUGGACAAAUUGUAGAUGAUUAAGAAAUUACCUUAAAUUUAUACCAUUUAAACAUGUCAUCUUAUUUCUCGAAUCAUCCUAAGACUUACAAAGUCUCCUAUAACUUAAGCAUAAGUCACAUAAUACUUAUAAUUUAGUCCCUAUUAAUCGAUUUCAAGCAUAUACCACUUCUGUAUCUUAGCCGCAUAACAUUUAUAUUUUAGUUUCUAUUUGUAAUGGCCCAAAUUUGCUGCCCAAAUAAACCAAAAAAAAAAACAUAAAUUAAACAAAAUUAUAACAGUCCCUUAAAUACUUUAGUCCAAUUACAAAAAACCAGUAGCCCCAUAGCCCAAAUAUAAGGGCCCACUAACUGGAACAGACCCAAACAGCCUUAAAUCGAUGCUCAGCUUUGGCAAACCCUAGGACAAAAGGGGUCCUCGAGUCGCAGCAACCUCAGCAGCCUCCAGGCACCGUACACUCCUCCUGGCGCCACGCACGCUCCCGUACAUACGCCAGCACCACCCCGUACGCCCCGCACCAAUUUGCCAGCGCAUGUCCUCUGCUCCGUACCUGCGAACAAGACAAACACAGCAACAAACAGAGACAAAAGAGAAAAUAUUAUUUUUCUUUUAUUUGUUUUUCUUUCGUUUCGGAUAUAAAGCCAGAAAAUGUUCAUUGUAAUGAAAAAAGGGGCGCAUUUACGCAACAAAAAUAUACAAACAGAUACUAUAAAGAGAGAUUUUUUUUACGAACACAAGCAAUACGAAUACUUACAAAAAAAAGCAGAGGUGAUUUCUUUUCUUCCUCGAAUCCUCUUAGUUUUCCAUAUAUCAUUGCGUUUUUGGUUUAGGGGUCAUUCACCAUUAUCGUUUUGAAAAUAAAGAGAUGAACAAAGGAACGGUGAAAGAGGAGCUUACCUUGCGAAGCUAGCCGUCGUCCCCCCUUUUACUUCGUCGAAAUCGAAGUCUGAAUGAGGGUUUCAAAGGCGAAAACCCCUCUUUUAGGGCUCGGAUGCGCAGACCGUCGCUCGUACUGACGAAUUAGUGCUAAAAGGAGCAUUUGGAGGUCGAUUGAGCAACGAGAGAGGGGAAGGGGCUAGGGUUCGGCUGAAUAACUCAGUCUUCAGCCCUUUUAAAGGGUUAAAAGCGAUGCCGUUUCAAGCCCAUUACAAUGGCUCAAAAACGACGUCGUCGGAUGGAGCCUCGAUCUGAUCCGUUUAGCUGCCCCGACGACCCGCGCGUUUUCGCGAAGAGGGUUUAUUUACAGCAUCGGUCCCUCCCUGUUGCACCAUGUUUCAUUUGGCUCUUAUUUAUUUUUUUAUUUUUAUUAAUUUAGCUAUGUAAUUUAUACACGUUUGCAAAUGGACCGGCGCUUGAAUACAGCCUUUUAGGAUCUGGUAUAUUGUCAGUUUUAGUCCCUAGCUGUUUCCGCGCAUGGACUAUUGGUCCCUCCACUGUUUUUGUUUAGUUUCAAUUUUACCUUGUGUGUUUUAGUUUAAUUUUAAUUAGGUCUUUUAUUUUAUAACUUUAUAAUUUCUUUUAUUUACUUACUAGUAUAUUUUCAAGCAGCUAUGACAGUCUUUUUAGUGUUAUAAAUUUGUUUUUUUUGUAAGAUUAUUAUCAUACUUCGUAUAUCUUGAAUGUUUAUUUCUUUAGUGUUAUUAGGCAUAUAUAUGUUUUACAAAAAAUCCUAAUGC